CCUACGGGGAGCAGCAGUAGGGAAUAUUCCACAAUGAGCGAAAGCUUGAUGGAGCGACCCAGCGUGCACGAUGCAGGUCUUCGGAUUGUACAGUGCUGUUAUAAGGGACGACCAUUUGCAAUAGGAAAUGAUUGCAGCCUGACGGUACCUUGUCAGAAAGCGAUGGCUAACUAUGUGCCAGCAGCCGCGGUAAUACAUAGGUCGCAAGCGUUAUCCGGAAUUAUUGGGCGUAAAGCGUUCGUAGGCUGUUUGUGAAGUCUGGAGUUAAAUCCCGGGGCUCAACCCCGGCUCGUUUUGGAUACUAGCAAACUAGAGUGAGAUAGAGGUAAGCGGAAUUCCAUGUGAAGCGGUGAAAGGCGUAGAUAUAUGGAAGAACACCAAAGGCGAAGGCAGCUUACUGGGUCUAUACUGACGCUGAGGGACGAAAGCGUGGGGAGCAAACAGGAUUAGAUACCCGAGUAGUC
This 464-nucleotide ribosomal RNA is filed under the name uncultured bacterium. RNAcentral describes it as "partial 16S ribosomal RNA". It matches the Rfam family "Bacterial small subunit ribosomal RNA", at positions 338 to 795 of the family's 1533-position model. The record is from RNAcentral.